ACUGAGGGUGCAAGCGUUAAUCGGAAUUACUGGGCGUAAAGCGAGUGUAGGCGGCUACGUAAGUCGGUUGUGAAAGCCCUGGGCUUAACCUGGGAACUGCAUCCGAUACUGCGUAGCUAGAGUCUGAUAGAGGGAAGUGGAAUUCCGGGUGUAGCGGUGAAAUGCGUAGAUAUCCGGAGGAACACCAGUGGCGAAGGCGGCUUCCUGGAUCAAGACUGACGCUGAUGCUCGAAAGCGUGGGGAGCAAACAGG
RNAcentral lists this ribosomal RNA (252 nucleotides) under uncultured bacterium. Its description in RNAcentral is "partial 16S ribosomal RNA". It matches the Rfam family "Bacterial small subunit ribosomal RNA", at positions 525 to 776 of the family's 1533-position model. The record is from RNAcentral.